RNAcentral lists this ribosomal RNA (301 nucleotides) under uncultured bacterium. RNAcentral describes it as "bacterial SSU rRNA". It matches the Rfam family "Bacterial small subunit ribosomal RNA", at positions 505 to 805 of the family's 1533-position model. The record is from RNAcentral.
GUGCCAGCAGCCGCGGUAAGACGGAGGGAGCAAGCGUUGUUCGGAUUUACUGGGCGUAAAGGGCGUCUAGGCGGGCUGGCAAGCCAGGUGUGAAAUCCCCCGGCUCAACCGGGGAUCUGCACUUGAUACUGCUGGUCUUGAGUACGGAAGAGGGAAGCGGAAUUCCUGGUGUAGCGGUGAAAUGCGUAGAUAUCAGGAAGAACACCGGUGGCGAAGGCGGCUUCCUGGUCCGAUACUGACGCUAAAGCACGAAAGCGUGGGGAGCAAACAGGAUUAGAUACCCUGGUAGUCCACGCCCUAA